RNAcentral lists this small nuclear RNA (20 nucleotides) under Arabidopsis thaliana (thale cress). RNAcentral's name for it is "snRNA_06981". The record is from RNAcentral. Lineage: Eukaryota; Viridiplantae; Streptophyta; Magnoliopsida; Brassicales; Brassicaceae.
GCUGAAGCAAUAACCAGGGU